UUGGUUUGCUCUUGUAGGUCUCUUCUCCUCAACCUGAGGAACCCGAGAAUUCAACAUGAAGAAAAAAGCUCCAACAGAGUGGCAAAUAAGCUAGCUAAAGAAGGGCUCUUGCUACCUCAAACACUCUUUUUGUAACUUAGACGACUCCCCCUGUAUUUGUUAAGUCGCUAAUGGAUGUUGUUAGUUAUGUACCUAGGUUCACUGAUAGCCAUGUAACUUCUAAUAUAGGGCCUGUUGUGCCCAGUAACCAUGGCCACUAUAUUACUACUACUAGAGCUGUGA
Molecule: long non-coding RNA, 282 nt
Filed under: Capsicum annuum
Lineage: Eukaryota; Viridiplantae; Streptophyta; Magnoliopsida; Solanales; Solanaceae
Description: long non-coding RNA (CANN_LNC016016)
Source: RNAcentral